CAUUUGUUUUUUAAUUGAAGACUUGUAUGAAUGGCUGAACGAGAAAAUAACUGUCUCUUUUAAAAAUCUUGAAUUUUACCUUUAAGUGAAAAGGCUUAAAUAAAUUUAGGGGACGAUAAGACCCUAUAAAUCUUUAUAUUAUUUUUCUUUAAAUUUCAAAUUAUAUAUUAAAAGAAAUAAAAGAAAAAAAUAUUAUAUUGGGGAGAUAAGAAUAUAAUUUUUAACUGUUUUAAAAAUAAAACAAUAAUUUUUGAUUAAAAAAAUUGAUCCUUUUUAAAGAUUUGAAGAUUAAGUUACUUUAGGGAUAACAGCGUAAUUUUUUUUGAGAGUUCUUAUCGAAAAAAAAGUUUGCGACCUCGAUGUUGAAUUAAAAUAUCCUUAUAAGUGCAGAAGCUAUAAAGGAAA
RNAcentral lists this ribosomal RNA (405 nucleotides) under Aegla manuinflata. Its description in RNAcentral is "partial 16S ribosomal RNA". Lineage: Eukaryota; Metazoa; Arthropoda; Malacostraca; Decapoda; Aeglidae. The record is from RNAcentral.